UACAGAGGUCUCAAGCGUUGUUCGGAUUCAUUGGGCGUAAAGGGUGUGUAGGUGGCGCCGUAAGUCGGGUGUGAAAUCCCGGGGCUCAACCCCGGAACUGCAUCCGAUACUGCCAUGCUAGAGGAUUGGAGAGGUAGCUGGAAUUCUUGGUGUAGCAGUGAAAUGCGUAGAGAUCAAGAGGAACACUCGUGGCGAAAGCGAGCUACUGGACAAUUCCUGACGCUGAGGCUCGAAGGCUAGGGUAGCGAAAGGG
RNAcentral lists this ribosomal RNA (253 nucleotides) under uncultured bacterium. Its description in RNAcentral is "partial 16S ribosomal RNA". It matches the Rfam family "Bacterial small subunit ribosomal RNA", at positions 524 to 776 of the family's 1533-position model. The record is from RNAcentral.